Tympanuchus pallidicinctus (lesser prairie-chicken) is the source of this 3473-nucleotide long non-coding RNA. RefSeq lists it as uncharacterized. NCBI's taxonomy places the organism in Eukaryota, Metazoa, Chordata, Aves, Galliformes, Phasianidae. The record is from RefSeq and is a predicted model, not a curated record. The transcript is spliced from 2 exons.
GGAGCCUGGCUGCACCUCUCUUAGACCUCAUUUAAGGGCUGACUGCCACUGAGGAGGCUUUCUUUCUGGAGGUCCCUGUUUGGUGGAGCUUUCCCCUGUGAACCUGGAACCUUCAGAUACAGCCAUUGCUCCAGGGACUAUCUGCCCACCAGCACUAUGUUAGCUCCAGUCAGCAAGUUGGAAGUCACGGACUUGACAGGCAACCAUACAGGGAAGAUGGAUGUCAUUUGUUUCUUUAACUUAUUGUCAGCCUGUGGCCACCUUCAUAUGUUCUCUCUGCUGAGCAGGUGGAGGUAACUGUCCCUUGCCAUGCAGUGCUCCAUUUCUCACUGACUAUCCAGUGUCUCAUGGAAAAUCUCCUCAAAGCUACUAUCUCAGAAUCUGUAAAUGUCCCAGCAGGGCUUCUUGUACAUGUCAGCAAGGUUGAGCAAUAGAUUUAUUUCUAAGAAUCGUGAACAUCGCUACUUCAUGUACCAGGGCAUAUUUGGCCCCUUCUGUGGUACCAGUGGGAUUGAAAUGGUCUCAUGCACACAACAGCCACUCUUCUCAAGAGAAUAUAAAACCUCCCAAACUGAAAAGGAAGCAAUUGACAUUUGCCAAGUUCAUGUGAAAAUGAUAAUUUAUUGUCAGGAGACAAGGAAGCCACUGGAGCAAGCUAUCCAAAGAAAGUUGUCAGAAACACUGACUCCUGAUGAGGCAGGUCAAACCUAAUCAUCUCUUUCAACUUCAACACCUAUGCAGUUAUGGUGAAACACAGGAAAGCGCUCAGAACUCUUCUUUCACUGUGAGCAAGAUACAAGCAAGAGGACAUGACCACAAGCAGUGUUACUCUCAGGAAGUGCCAGUUGAAUCUCCCGUCUCUUUGCAGUUUUCUCCUCACGAAUUCCCCAAUGGGCAUCGUGACUGCACUGAUCUUGAACAGAGGCUUUUAUGGCUUUGUCCAAAAUGACUGGGCAUUGUGUAGUACCCUAUGCCAAAAUCAACCUCUAGAACUUUAAUAAUUUACUGAAAAUGUGUUAAAUGUGCCCCAAGAAAAUGUGCAGCUGAGAAAAUCUCACACUUCGUGAAGCAGUAAAUCUUGCUGUAGUCAAUACAAAAUCUCUUUGCAUAUUAUUUGCUAAUAAGACUCAGUACUUUCAUGGGAAGACGAAUAUUUUUCACUCACUUCUCUACAGGGCAAAUGUCUUUACCUCUCCGCAGAUGGCAGCUUGCAGGCAGAUCCUCUUCCAAUAUGAAUGGCCUGCAUUUGUCCUGUCAGCCAUGGGGUUUGUAGCUGCUUUGGGAUUCAGCACUACAGUGGCAGUGGGAGGCUGAUGUGGUGUCACGGUUCAGUCCCUCCACUGGCAGUCAACUCAACUCCUGUCCAUGUGUCUUAGUGUGCAACUGCUGAUACAAGCACAGUGGGGCUCACCAACUUACCCACACGGGCUAGAGGUAAACAAGCGACACUGAGAGCAGUCUUGUGGCCUCCAUUUACAGGCAGCCUGAGUACAGCCAUGUGCCUUUUGGUAUGUUUUUCCUUUCCAUGCUUAUCUUGGCCAGUGAUUGUUUACACUCAUCUGUGGGACUGAGGAAAUUAAAACAGCAAGUGGAGGUGUGCUGGUGGGCCUGUCUUUAUUUCUCCCUCCCUACUUUAACCAAAUUAUAUCUAAAGUGUAGCAUAGGAAAUGUCUCCCUGCCAGACUCCUGGUAGGACCACGCCGUGCCAGGGGUCUCGCUUGGAGAGCAGCCUGAUGUCAUAUGAGGGCAGCAAGUGGUUGUUCAUGUGGUGAUUUUUUUUUUCCUUCAGGAUGUGAUAAGGGGGUUUAUGUUGAGAAAAGUAUGUCAACAGGUUAGAAACGUUAACAACAAUAAUCUUUCCAGGGUUGCUUAUGCUUACCGUGCCUUCACAAAUAUUUUUAAAAAGUAGUCUGUUGAUGGGAAGCAGCUCCUUUGUAUCUGGAGACCUAGUCUCAAUUGUUUUCAUGGAGCUGGGCAUCCAGUCCACUGACUUUUCCAGAAGAACUCAGCAGAACAUAAGAUAUCACAUCAAAAAGCCAUUUCCUGGUAACAUGGCAUCUUCCCUGGCAAAAGCUUCUUAAAACAAACAAAAAAGGCUCAGUAGAUAAACUUCUCAAUUCCAGACUUGCUUUAGACCAUAUUUGCCUGACAGUAUGCGUUGUUGGUCACACAGUAAGCAACUUUCCCUUCCUUUCUUAUUCCUGCUACAAGGUCCUGCACACACCCUAUAUAUGUUUACAGAUAUAGACCUAUGAUUACUUUGGAAGUGCAAAAUAUUUGGCUAAAGGAUUGGGACAGAGUUUGCUUGGCUCUGACAAACCUCAAUGCCUUCAGAUUUGGCUGGCCCCAAACAAAAUCUGUGCUUCAAAACAUGAUUUGAUUUCUCAGCAAUAAAGCAAACAUCUCAGACAGUGCUUUUUGGCUUUGUAUCACCAUCUGGCCUGUUCCCUUCAGGGCUGAGGAGGUUGGGGGAAGAACAGAGAUGCACAGCUGAAGCUGGCAUUUCAGAGGGAUUUCUGGCUUUGAUUCCUCCUUUAUGGAAUCCUAUCAACCAGCCAAUUGUCUGAGUGUGAGUCUGAGUGGUCCUACCUGGCCAUUUCAGUAUGGGUCAGCAAGUGCAUGACAUAUUGCCUGUGCCUUUGGAGACAGAAUCAUACUGGGGUUUAAAGUUGUUUGUUACUUUGGAUUUGCUAUGGGCUCUUUGCUCUCAGCUACCUCAUACCUGAAAUGGACAAUCUGUGCUGCCUGCCUUCCCCUUUCUACUCCAUACACACUCCUCCUUCUGUCUCCAGCUAGACCUGGAGAGACUCACAGUAAUUCUUGUUACUGAGUUUAGGACUGCUCAGAACCUUUGAAAGAGCUACACAUGACAUGUAUGUUGUGUUAGUGAAUGAACAGUUUUGUACUGGGACAUUAAUUACCAAGGGGCCUGGCAAAGAACAGGGAAUACAAGUCCUUUUCUUACAUAAACAUGUUCAGUUUUGGUUGGCUGAGUACCUGGAUACCAAUUCCCUAUGGGUUAGGAUUACUUUGGUUUAUUUAUGCAGUCAUGUUCCUGUUUUGAAUUUAACAACUCCCUAACUAUCAUCACCAAGGAAGAAAAAAUAUUGAUAUGCAAGUUACAGGAGACAGGAGAUAAUCUUGUGUUCCAUUUCAACAGAAACUAAAAAAUAUUUAGCCAGAGGCGUCACUAAACAGCCUGCACAAUUCACACAGAAAACUGGAUGAACCACGUUUGUCAUCUCUUGACACUACUUGGCAUUUCCCAAUUUUUGUUAUUUCCAGAAUGGGGACUUAAACACUCUCUCUGUGUGUACCUCUGAUAAUUAUAUCUUGUUAUAGGGGAGGAAAAAAAGGAAAAAACAAACAAACAAAUCUAUACACAGUGAAAUAACAGGUAAUAAUCCAAACACUGCGUCCCACAUGCUGUCUAAAUGCAGUAGUAUCAGAGGUUUGUACACUGUUAAAGAUAA